This 253-nucleotide ribosomal RNA is filed under the name uncultured bacterium. Its description in RNAcentral is "partial 16S ribosomal RNA". It matches the Rfam family "Bacterial small subunit ribosomal RNA", at positions 524 to 776 of the family's 1533-position model. The record is from RNAcentral.
UACGGAGGGGGCUAGCGUUGUUCGGAAUUACUGGGCGUAAAGCGCACGUAGGCGGCUUCGCAAGUCAGAGGUGAAAGCCCGGGGCUCAACCCAGGAACUGCCUUUGAGACUGCGUGGCUGGAAUCCGGGAGAGGCGGGUGGAAUUCCCGGUGUAGAGGUGAAAUUCGUAGAUAUUCGGAGGAACACCAGUGGCGAAGGCGGCCCGCUGGGCCGUCACUGACGCUGAGGUGCGAAAGCGUGGGGAGCAAACAGG